CGGGACACGUGGUAUCCUGUCUGAAUAUGGGGGGACCAUCCUCCAAGGCUAAAUACUCCUGACUGACCGAUAGUGAACCAGUACCGUGAGGGAAAGGCGAAAAGAACCCCGGCGAGGGGAGUGAAAAAGAACCUGAAACCGUGUACGUACAAGCAGUGGGAGCACAGAGCAAUCUGUGUGACUGCGUACCUUUUGUAUAAUGGGUCAGCGACUUAUAUUCUGUAGCAAGGUUAACCGAAUAGGGGAGCCGAAGGGAAACCGAGUCUUAACUGGGCGUUAAGUUGCAGGGUAUAGACCCGAAACCCGGUGAUCUAGCCAUGGGCAGGUUGAAGGUUGGGUAACACUAACUGGAGGACCGAACCGACUAAUGUUGAAAAAUUAGCGGAUGACUUGUGGCUGGGGGUGAAAGGCCAAUCAAACCGGGAGAUAGCUGGUUCUCCCCGAAAGCUAUUUAGGUAGCGCCUCGUGAAUUCAUCUCCGGGGGUAGAGCACUGUUUCGGCAAGGGGGUCAUCCCGACUUACCAACCCGAUGCAAACUGCGAAUACCGGAGAAUGUUAUCACGGGAGACACACGGCGGGUGCUAACGUCCGUCGUGAAGAGGGAAACAACCCAGACCGCCAGCUAAGGUCCCAAAGUCAUGGUUAAGUGGGAAACGAUGUGGGAAGGCCCAGACAGCCAGGAUGUUGGCUUAGAAGCAGCCAUCAUUUAAAGAAAGCGUAAUAGCUCACUGGUCGAGUCGGCCUGCGCGGAAGAUGUAACGGGGCUAAACCAUGCACCGAAGCUGCGGCAGCGACGCUUAUGCGUUGUUGGGUAGGGGAGCGUUCUGUAAGCCUGCGAAGGUGUGCUGUGAGGCAUGCUGGAGGUAUCAGAAGUGCGAAUGCUGACAUAAGUAACGAUAAAGCGGGUGAAAAGCCCGCUCGCCGGAAGACCAAGGGUUCCUGUCCAACGUUAAUCGGGGCAGGGUGAGUCGACCCCUAAGGCGAGGCCGAAAGGCGUAGUCGAUGGGAAACAGGUUAAUAUUCCUGUACUUGGUGUUACUGCGAAGGGGGGACGGAGAAGGCUAUGUUGGCCGGGCGACGGUUGUCCCGGUUUAAGCGUGUAGGCUGGUUUUCCAGGCAAAUCCGGAAAAUCAAGGCUGAGGCGUGAUGACGAGGCACUACGGUGCUGAAGCAACAAAUGCCCUGCUUCCAGGAAAAGCCUCUAAGCAUCAGGUAACAUCAAAUCGUACCCCAAACCGACACAGGUGGUCAGGUAGAGAAUACCAAGGCGCUUGAGAGAACUCGGGUGAAGGAACUAGGCAAAAUGGUGCCGUAACUUCGGGAGAAGGCACGCUGAUAUGUAGGUGAAGCGACUUGCUCGUGGAGCUGAAAUCAGUCGAAGAUACCAGCUGGCUGCAACUGUUUAUUAAAAACACAGCACUGUGCAAACACGAAAGUGGACGUAUACGGUGUGACGCCUGCCCGGUGCCGGAAGGUUAAUUGAUGGGGUCAGCGCAAGCGAAGCUCUUGAUCGAAGCCCCGGUAAACGGCGGCCGUAACUAUAACGGUCCUAAGGUAGCGAAAUUCCUUGUCGGGUAAGUUCCGACCUGCACGAAUGGCGUAAUGAUGGCCAGGCUGUCUCCACCCGAGACUCAGUGAAAUUGAACUCGCUGUGAAGAUGCAGUGUACCCGCGGCAAGACGGAAAGACCCCGUGAACCUUUACUAUAGCUUGACACUGAACAUUGAGCCUUGAUGUGUAGGAUAGGUGGGAGGCUUUGAAGUGUGGACGCCAGUCUGCAUGGAGCCGACCUUGAAAUACCACCCUUUAAUGUUUGAUGUUCUAACGUGGACCCGUAAUCCGGGUUGCGGACAGUGUCUGGUGGGUAGUUUGACUGGGGCGGUCUCCUCCUAAAGAGUAACGGAGGAGCACGAAGGUUGGCUAAUCCUGGUCGGACAUCAGGAGGUUAGUGCAAUGGCAUAAGCCAGCUUGACUGCGAGCGUGACGGCGCGAGCAGGUGCGAAAGCAGGUCAUAGUGAUCCGGUGGUUCUGAAUGGAAGGGCCAUCGCUCAACGGAUAAAAGGUACUCCGGGGAUAACAGGCUGAUACCGCCCAAGAGUUCAUAUCGACGGCGGUGUUUGGCACCUCGAUGUCGGCUCAUCACAUCCUGGGGCUGAAGUAGGUCCCAAGGGUAUGGCUGUUCGCCAUUUAAAGUGGUACGCGAGCUGGGUUUAGAACGUCGUGAGACAGUUCGGUCCCUAUCUGCCGUGGGCGCUGGAGAACUGAGGGGGGCUGCUCCUAGUACGAGAGGACCGGAGUGGACGCAUCACUGGUGUUCGGGUUGUCAUGCCAAUGGCACUGCCCGGUAGCUAAAUGCGGAAGAGAUAAGUGCUGAAAGCAUCUAAGCACGAAACUUGCCCCGAGAUGAGUUCUCCCUGACUCCUUGAGAGUCCUGAAGGAACGUUGAAGACGACGACGUUGAUAGGCCGGGUGUGUAAGCGCAGCGAUGCGUUGAGCUAACCGGUACUAAUGAACCGUGAGG
This 2520-nucleotide ribosomal RNA is filed under the name Escherichia coli. RNAcentral describes it as "partial 23S ribosomal RNA". It matches the Rfam family "Bacterial large subunit ribosomal RNA", at positions 418 to 2915 of the family's 2925-position model. Lineage: Bacteria; Pseudomonadati; Pseudomonadota; Gammaproteobacteria; Enterobacterales; Enterobacteriaceae. The record is from RNAcentral.